Molecule: ribosomal RNA, 253 nt
Filed under: uncultured bacterium
Lineage: Bacteria
Description: partial 16S ribosomal RNA
Rfam family: Bacterial small subunit ribosomal RNA
Source: RNAcentral
UACGUAGGGCGCAAGCGUUAUCCGGAAUUAUUGGGCGUAAAGAGCUCGUAGGCGGUUUGUCGCGUCUGCCGUGAAAGUCCGGGGCUCAACUCCGGAUCUGCGGUGGGUACGGGCAGACUAGAGUGAUGUAGGGGAGACUGGAAUUCCUGGUGUAGCGGUGAAAUGCUUAGAUAUCUGGAGGAACACCUAUGGCGAAGGCAGCUUACUGGACGAUAACUGACGCUGAGGCACGAAAGCGUGGGGAGCAAAAAGG